UCUUCUAAUUAUUUUACCGUUUUUAUUACUUUCUUGUUCCAUUUCAUGUUCUACCAAAUAACCCUUUCUUAUAUAGGUACCGGAGGAUCCAAUUGAAGCCAAUCAUGUGAGCUUUCUGAUCCUCUCCUAGAUCCAUAGAGAUGGUCCAUCCUGAACCAGCAGUGAUAAAGUCCAAUGCAUAUAUGUGGUUGUUUAACAGAAAGGCAGAAAGUAUCUUCGUUGUGGGACAUUGAACGCAUUGCCAUGUCCAGGAUGCACG
Molecule: long non-coding RNA, 259 nt
Filed under: Elaeis guineensis (African oil palm)
Lineage: Eukaryota; Viridiplantae; Streptophyta; Magnoliopsida; Arecales; Arecaceae
Description: long non-coding RNA (EGUI_LNC000379)
Source: RNAcentral